UCAAGCUACAAAGAGCGCGAGGGGAAUGCCUUGGCGCCGGGAGCCGAAGAAGGACGCGGCAAACAGCGAAAUGCUCUGGGGAGCCGUAAGCAGGCAGAGAUCCAGAGAUAUCCGAAUGGGGAAACCCGGCUGGAUUUAAAACCAGUCAGUGUGUAAUGAACAAAAUAGUUACACACGGGGAACCGCCCGAACUGAAACAUCUAAGUAGGGCGAGGAAAAGAAAUCAAACGAGAUUCUGUUAGUAGUGGUGAGCGAACGCGGAAGAGGCCAAACCGAAAGUAGAAAUAUUUUCGGGGUAUGGUUAUAGCGAGAAAUCGAGUUAAAUUGAGAGCAGAACGGUCUGGGAAGGCCGGCGAUACAGCGUGAGAGCCGCGUAUGCGAAUCGAGCUAACGAGAGAGUUAUAACCAGAGUACUGCCGGGCACGAGAAAUCCGGUAGGAAGACGGGGGGACCAUCCUCUAAGCCUAAAUACUACCCGGCGACCGAUAGUGAAGAGUACCGUGAGGGAAAGGCGAAAAGAACCCCGGGAGGGGAGUGAAAUAGAACCUGAAACCUCGUGCUUACAAGCACCGAGAGUCCUACUUUGGGGGUAGAAAUAUACCCAAAAGGAUGAUCGGGUACCUUUUGUAGAAUGGUCCGGCGAGUGAAUAGCACAAGCGAGGUUAAGUAUUUAAGAUACGGAGCCGAAGGGAAACCGAGUUUUAAAAGAGCGAAAAGUUUGUGAUAUUCGACCCGAAACCGGGUGAGCUAUUCAUGUCCAGAUUGAAAUAGAGGUAAAACUCUAUGGAGGAUCGAACCGACUCCCGUUGAAAUGGUAGCGGAUGAGGUGUGAAUAGAGGAGAAAUUCCAACCGAACCCGGAGAUAGCUGGUUCUCUCCGAAAUAGCUUUAGGGCUAGCCUCGUACACAGAUUAUCGGAGGUAAAGCACUGAAUGGGCUAGGGACCGAAAGGUUACCGAACUCUAUCAAACUAAGAAUGCCGAAUAAUUGAUAUACGGGAGUCAGACAGCGUGAGAUAAGUUUCGUUGUCGAAAGGGAAAAAGCCCAGACCCACAGUUAAGGACCCAAAAUAAGUUUAAGUGGAAAAGGAUGUAGAGUUGUACAGACAACCAGGAUGUUGGCUUAGAAGCAGCCAUUCAUUAAAAGAACGCGUAAUAGCGCACUGGUCGAGUGACUCUGCGCCGAAGAUUUAACGGGGCUAAAAACUUAUUCCGAAACUUGGGAAUCUAAAAUAAAUAAUUAUUUUUUAGUUCAUAUAUUUUUUUAAUUUAUUUAAAAUUAAAUCAAGAUAUAAUAAUAGAAAUAAUUAAAAUUUUUAGUAUAUAUUAUAUAUUUAAGAGAUUUUAUUUGUGUAAUUUUGAUAUAAAUAUUAUAUAAAUUUAAUAAAUUUUAUGUAAUUUUAAUAUAUUUUUAAUAUAUUAAUAUAUGAUAUAAUAUAUAUAGAUUGGUAGGAGAGCGUUGUAUAUUAGGCGAAGUCAUAGCGGAAGCGAUGGUGGAUGAUAUACAAGAGAGAAUGCCGGAAUGAGUAGCGAGAAAUAUGUGAGAAUCAUAUUGGCCGAAAAUCUAAGGAAUUUGGGGGAAGGUUCGUCCGCCCCAAUUUAGUCGGGAGCUAAGGCGAGGCCGAAAGGCGUAGUCGAUGCACAAACGGUUAAUAUUCCGUUACCGCUGAAUAAUUUAAGCAAGAUGACGCUUUAGAAGGGCAUGACCCAGUGAACGGUAGAACUGGGCGUAAGGGACCGAAAAUUAGUAGGGAAGCAUGCUUAAAUAGAGACAAGAAAAGUCUUGCGGGAUAUUAUUAAGCGCCCGUACCGCAAACCGACACAGGUAGAUAGGAAGAGGAUUCUAAGGCCAACGGGAGAAGGGUAGUUAAGGAACUCGGCAAAAUGACCCCGUAACUUAGGGAAAAGGGGAGCUCACUGCAAGGUGAGCCGCAGAGAAUAGGUCCAGGCGACUGUUUAUCAAAAACACAGGUCUGUGCUAAAUCGAAAGAUGAAGUAUACGGGCUGACGCCUGCCCGGUGCCGGAAGGUUAAGAGGAGAGGUGCAAGCCCCGAAUUGAAGCCCCGGUGAACGGCGGCCGUAACUAUAACGGUCCUAAGGUAGCGAAAUUCCUUGUCGGGUAAAUUCCGACCCGCAUGAAUGGCGUAACGAUCUGGGCACUGUCUCGACUACCCGCCCGGCGAAAUUGUAGUACCGGUGAAGAUGCCGGUUACCUGCGGCAAGACGGAAAGACCCCAUGGAGCUUUACUGUAGCUUGAUAUUGGGUUUUGAUUAUAUAUGUACAGGAUAGGUGGGAGGCAAAGAAAUACAGACGUUAGUCUGUAUGGAGCCGACGUUGGGAUACCACCCUUAUAUAAUUGAAAUUCUAACCAACGGCCGUUAUCCGGCUGGGGAACAGUGUCAGGCGGGCAGUUUGACUGGGGCGGUCGCCUCCGAAAGAGUAACGGAGGCGUUCAAAGGUUGGCUCAACGCGGACGGAAACCGCGCAAAAGAGUGCAAACGCAAAAGCCAGCUUAACCGUGAGGCAGACAAGCCGAACGGAGACGAAAGUCGGAGUUAGUGAUCAGGCGGUAGUGAAUGGGAAUGCCGUCGCUCAACGGAUAAAAGUUACCCUGGGGAUAACAGGCUGAUACCCCCCAAGAGUUCACAUCGACGGGGGUGUUUGGCACCUCGAUGUCGGCUCAUCACAUCCUGGAGCUGUAGUAGGUUCCAAGGGUUCGGCUGUUCGCCGAUUAAAGUGGUACGCGAGCUGGGUUCAGAACGUCGCGAGACAGUUCGGUCCCUAUCUGUCGUAGGCGAAGGAUAUUUGAAAGAGGCUGUCCCUAGUACGAGAGGACCGGGAUGGACGCACCUCUGGUGCACCGGUUGUCACGCCAGUGGCAUAGCCGGGCAGCUAAGUGCGGGCGAGAUAAACGCUGAAAGCAUCUAAGCGUGAAGCUCAUUUUAAGAUAAGAUAUCCAGUUUAGCUCGAGCAAUCGAGCCAAAACAGAAACCCCCUUUAGACCAAAGGGUAAAUAGGACGGAAGUAUACGCAUGGCGACAUGUUAAGCUAGCCGAUUCCUAAUAGGUUCAAAGCUUU
RNAcentral lists this ribosomal RNA (3077 nucleotides) under Candidatus Improbicoccus devescovinae. Its description in RNAcentral is "23S ribosomal RNA". It matches the Rfam family "Bacterial large subunit ribosomal RNA". Lineage: Bacteria; Bacillati; Bacillota; Clostridia. The record is from RNAcentral.